RNAcentral lists this ribosomal RNA (253 nucleotides) under uncultured bacterium. RNAcentral's name for it is "partial 16S ribosomal RNA". It matches the Rfam family "Bacterial small subunit ribosomal RNA", at positions 524 to 776 of the family's 1533-position model. The record is from RNAcentral.
UACGUAGGGGGCGAGCGUUGUCCGGAAUUAUUGGGCGUAAAGCGCGCGUAGGCGGCCCGGUAAGUCCGUUGUGAAAGUCAAAGGCUCAACCUUUGAAUGCCGAUGGAUACUGCCGGGCUCGAGUCCGGAAGAGGCGAGUGGAAUUCCUGGUGUAGCGGUGGAAUGCGCAGAUAUCAGGAGGAACACCAAUAGCGAAGGCAGCUCGCUGGGACGGUACUGACGCUAAGGCGCGAAAGCGUGGGGAGCGAACAGG